Molecule: ribosomal RNA, 449 nt
Filed under: uncultured bacterium
Lineage: Bacteria
Description: bacterial SSU rRNA
Rfam family: Bacterial small subunit ribosomal RNA
Source: RNAcentral
AACGAACGUUAGCGGCGCGCCUAACACAUGCAAGUCGAGCGAGAAGGAAGCAAUUCCUGUAAAGCGGCGCACGGGUGAGUAACACGUAGGUAAUCUACCUCGAAGUGGUGGAUAACCUUCCGAAAGGAGGGCUAAUACAGCAUGAGACCACGGUUUCGAAAGAGAUUGAGGUCAAAGCGGGCCACUAUACAUAAGCUCGCGCUUCGAGAUGAGCCUGCGGCCCAUCAUGGUAGUUGGUAGGGUAAUGGCCUACCAAGCCGAAGACGGGUAGCUGGUCUGAGAGGAUGAUCAGCCACACUGGAACUGAGACACGGUCCAGACUCCUACGGGAGGCAGCAGUGGGGAAUCUUGCGCAAUGGGCGAAAGCCUGACGCAGCGACGCCGCGUGAGUGAUGAAGGCCUGGUGUAAGCUACUGUGGAGGGGACGGAAGUAAGGGUUAGGCGUAACA